This 468-nucleotide ribosomal RNA is filed under the name uncultured bacterium. Its description in RNAcentral is "partial 16S ribosomal RNA". It matches the Rfam family "Bacterial small subunit ribosomal RNA", at positions 28 to 507 of the family's 1533-position model. The record is from RNAcentral.
GACGAACGCUGGCGGCGUGCUUAACACAUGCAAGUCGAACGGAAAGGCCCUGCUUUUGUGGGGUGCUCGAGUGGCGAACGGGUGAGUAACACGUGAGUAACCUGCCCUUGACUUUGGGAUAACUUCAGGAAACUGGGGCUAAUACCGGAUAGGAGCUCCUGCUGCAUGGUGGGGGUUGGAAAGUUUCGGCGGUUGGGGAUGGACUCGCGGCUUAUCAGCUUGUUGGUGGGGUAGUGGCUUACCGAGGCUUUGACGGGUAGCCGGCCUGAGAGGGUGACCGGCCACAUUGGGACUGAGAUACGGCCCAGACUCCUACGGGAGGCAGCAGUGGGGAAUAUUGCACAAUGGGCGGAAGCCUGAUGCAGCAACGCCGCGUGCGGGAUGGCGGCCUUCGGGUUGUAAACCGCUUUCGCCUGUGACGAAGCGUGAGUGACGGUAAUGGGUAAAGAAGCACCGGCUAACUACGUG